RNAcentral lists this ribosomal RNA (327 nucleotides) under uncultured eukaryote. Its description in RNAcentral is "partial 18S ribosomal RNA". It matches the Rfam family "Eukaryotic small subunit ribosomal RNA", at positions 1470 to 1796 of the family's 1831-position model. The record is from RNAcentral.
CCCUUAGAUGUUCUGGGCCGCACGCGCGCUACACUGACGAAUGCAACGAGCUUAUAACCUUGGCCGAAAGGUCUGGGUAAUCUCCAAAUUUCGUCGUGAUGGGGAUAGAUUAUUGCAAUUAUUAAUCUUCAACGAGGAAUGCCUAGUAAGCGCAAGUAAUCAGCUUGCGUUGAUUACGUCCCUGCCCUUUGUACACACCGCCCGUCGCUCCUACCGAUUGAAUGGUCCGGUGAAGCGUUCGGACCGUGGCCUUUGGACGGUUCGCCGUCUGUUGGCUGCGGGAAGUUCGUUAAACCUUAUCAUUUAGAGGAAGGAGAANUCGUANCA